Molecule: non-coding RNA, 214 nt
Filed under: Streptomyces noursei
Lineage: Bacteria; Bacillati; Actinomycetota; Actinomycetes; Kitasatosporales; Streptomycetaceae
Source: RNAcentral
CUACAGUGACCGGGCCGUGGUGCUCGGGAAGACCGGUGCUGGACCUCGUGUCCGAAGCCGGCGCGGCCCUCGCCACUGUGAUCGGGGAGUUUCCGCCCCUCUGCGUGCGCGCCCAGCGCGCGCACGGCGCCACUGACCGCAGCCUGCGGCCGGGAAGGCGGGGCGGACGCGGGCACCCGUAAGCCAGGAGACCGGCCACGGCAUCUCACGAAAU